ACGGGGCGCAAGGCCGAAAACUUUACAAUGCUGGCAACACGAUAAGGGAACCUCGAGUGCCAGGUUACAAAUCUGGCUGUCGAGAUGCCUAAAAAGCAUUUCAUAGCAAGGGCCGGGCAAGACCGGUGCCAGCCGCCGCGGUAACACCGGCGGCUCGAGUGGUAACCGUUAUUAUUGGGUCUAAAGGGUCUGUAGCCGGCCGGAUAAGUCUCUUGAGAAAUCUGGCAGCUUAACUGUCAGGCUUUCAGGAGAUACUGUCUGGCUCGAGGCCGGGAGAGGUGAGAGGUACUUCAGGGGUAGGGGUGAAAUCUUGUAAUCCUUGAAGGACCACCAGUGGCGAAGGCGUCUCACCAGAACGGACCUGACGGCAAGGGACGAAAGCUAGGGGCACGAACCGGAUUAGAUACCCGGGUAGUCCUAGCCGUAAACGAUACUCGCUAGGUGUCGGCCACGGUGCGACCGUUGUCGGUGCCGUAGGGAAGCCGUGAAGCGAGCCACCUGGGAAGUACGGCCGCAAGGCUGAAACUUAAAGGAAUUGGCGGGGGAGCACCACAACGGGUGGAGCUUGCGGUUUAAUUGGAUUCAACGCCGGAAAUCUUACCGGGACCGACAGCAAUAUGAAGGCCAGGCUGAAGACUUUGCCGGAUUAGCUGAGAGGUGGUGCAUGGCCGUCGUCAGUUCGUACUGUGAAGCAUCCUGUUAAGUCAGGCAACGAGCGAGACCCACGCCCACAGUUGCCAGCGUACUCUCUGGAGUGACGGGUACACUGUGGGGACCGCCGCUGCUAAAGCGGAGGAAGGAAUGGGCAACGGUAGGUCAGUAUGCCCCGAAUAUCCCGGGCUACACGCGAGCUACAAUGGUUGGUACAAUGGAUAUCUACCCCGAAAGGGGACGGGAAUCUCCUAAAACCAAUCUUAGUUCGGAUUGAGGGCUGCAACUCGCCCUCAUGAAGCUGGAAUCCGUAGUAAUCGCGUUUCAACAGAACGCGGUGAAUACGUCCCUGCUCCUUGUACACACCGCCCGUCA
RNAcentral lists this ribosomal RNA (1026 nucleotides) under uncultured Methanosarcina sp. RNAcentral describes it as "bacterial SSU rRNA". It matches the Rfam family "Archaeal small subunit ribosomal RNA", at positions 325 to 1355 of the family's 1478-position model. The record is from RNAcentral. Lineage: Archaea; Methanobacteriati; Methanobacteriota; Methanomicrobia; Methanosarcinales; Methanosarcinaceae.